Long non-coding RNA from Mercenaria mercenaria, 5662 nucleotides. RefSeq lists it as uncharacterized. The transcript has 2 exons. NCBI's taxonomy places the organism in Eukaryota, Metazoa, Mollusca, Bivalvia, Venerida, Veneridae. The record is from RefSeq and is a predicted model, not a curated record.
UUUUUUAGCUCACCUGAGCACGAAGUGCUCAAAGGUGAGCUUUAGUGAUCACCCUGUGUCCGGCGUCCGUCGUCGUCCGUCGUCCGUCCGUCCGUCCGUCCGUCCGUCGUCAACAAUUUGACUGUUAACACUCUAGAGGUCACAUUUUUGACCCAAUCUUAAUGAAACUUGGUCAGAAUGUUACCCUCAAUAAAAUCUUGGACGAGUUCGAUAUUGGGUCAUCUGGGGUCAAAAACUAGGUCAUCAGGUCAAAUCAAAGGAAAAGCUUGUUAACACUCUAGAGGUCACAUUUUUGGCCCAAUCUUAAUGAAACUUGGUCAGAAUGUUACCCUCAAUAAAAUCUUGGAUGAGUUCGAUAUUAAGUCAUCUGGGGUCAAAAACUAGGUCAUCAGGUCAAAUCAAAGGAAAAGCUUGUUAACACUCUAGAGGCCACAUUUUUGACUAUAUCUUCAUGAAACUUAGUCAGAAUGUUAAACUUGAUGGUCUUUAGGUCAAGUUCGAAUCUGGGUCAUGUCGGGUCAAAAACUAGGUCACGGGGGUCAAAUAAAAGGAAUAGUUAGUUAACACUUUAGAGGCCACAUUUAUGACCAUAUCUUAAUGAAACUUGGUCAGAAUGUUAAUCUUGAUGAUCUAUAGGUCAAGUUUAAAUCUGGGUCAGGUGUGUUAAAAAACUAGGUCACUAGGUCAAAUCAAAGGAAAAGCUUGUUAAGACUCUAGAGGCCAGAUUUAUGACUGUAUCUUCAUGAAACUUAAUCAGAAUGUUAAUCUUGAUGAUCUUUAGGUCAAGUUCGAAUCUGGGUCAUGUGGGGGCAAAAACUAGGUCACCGGGUCAAAUCAAAGGAAAAGCUAGUUAACACUUUAGAGGCUACAUUUAUGACCAUAUCUUAAUGAAACUUGGUCAGAAUGUUGAUCUUGAUGAUCUUUAGGUCAAUAGGUCAGGUGAGCGAUACAGGGCCUUCAUGGCCCUCUUGUUUAAUAUACAGUAGACACAAAUUCUUAGAAAAUGUUGGCCAAACACCAAAUGCAUUGAAAUGAAUAUUCUUUAGAAUACAGAUCAGUUUGGUGGAAAGUGUGGAAUAUCAAAACGUUUGCAGUCUGCUGGCAGUGUGAUUUAUUAUGUCCAUUUUGAAAAAAAAAGUAUUAGUCAGUCCAAAAUAUAGUUACAAAUGAAAAUUAGAAUUUACAGUUUAUAUGUUAACUUUCCAAAAGACUUUAACCUGUACCUUUCACCCUUACAAUGAAUAUUGACCUUUUUGCACAAAACAGUUGUAAUUACAAGAUACAGUUAUUUUGCACUGAGCUCUCUGUUAGCCCUUUUUUAGGACUUUGGCAAACAGUGUAGACCCAGAUCAGCCAGCAUGCAACCGUGCUGACAGAUCAGGGUUUACACUGUUUGCUUUCCAGUAAGUAGGUAAGGAUUAAGUGUCUAAGAAGCUAACAGUCUAGACCCUGGUCAGCUGACAAAGUUGUGUGCUGUCUGAUCUUGGUCUUACAUAGGCCUAUAAAAUUCUGCAGGUUGCUUUUUCAUGUCACCUAGAACAAGGGUUCUGGUUGAGGUAUUAGUAUAGAUAGAUGUGCCAUCGUGGAUAUCAACUUUAGCAACUUCCUGUCACAGUUUUACUAGCAGCUAGGGGCUCUCCUUAUCUGUCUUCUUUUGAUAAGGUAUUGACUUGAUUUUUAGCACUGUAAAAAUUCUACUUAUUUCUACUUGAUGCCAAGUUACUAGCUGGUGAUCAAAAUGAACAUCGUAAAUAAAUUCUCUGUAAAUAACAAUUUAGCUAUUAAUUACAAAAUGGUUCUUUUAUUGAACAUCUUCUUGCAAAUAAGUUGCAGAAUUGUCAAAAUGCCAGUAUUUGUUAUAUGCUGCAACAAAAUGUUUUUUACAUUUCAUGUUAGUAACCAGGUCAUAGAUAUAUUACAUUAGAAUAAUCAUCUUCCCAAGUUAAAGGUGAGACAGAAGUAUAAUUAGGUUUUUAAAAUUGUGCUUGAAGCAUAGCAGACAUGUCAUCGUACAAAAAAGAACAGUGAUGACAAUGACAAAUAUAUAGAGACUUUAUUUUAAAAAUGUUUUAUUUAAACGGGAAGUGAUUUAUCCAGGAAAUCUAGAAAACAAUCAGUCAGUGUUUAAGUUUAAUAACGGUCCAUUCGCCCUUUCAGACACAAUGAAGCAUAAAAAUGCCACAUAGACUAUAGACAGCAUCCAGAGCACAAAUGUUGCCGUGAUCCUUUAAUAUCUAGUGUAUUAAAGGUAAACAAACACUAAGUAGGAAAAUGAUGUGAAAAAAAUGGUACCUAUAUAAUGAUAGAAUCAAAUAGUUCUCAGGCAUUUUUUUGCUCUGUAGAGCUACUUUCCUUAUUUUCCAUACAAAUUUUGGCUGAAAUCACAUGACAGAUCUAUGCUUGACAUUCAUGUAGGAUUUUAAUAAUGAACUGAUAACAUAACAGAAUUUUUCCUUGAAACUCAGGUCAUACACCAUCACUGCAAUUUUGGGGUCUCAUUUUUAGCUGAUUUUACAGUGUGUUUGUUUGACUGAAAAUAUUUUUCUUGCAACAAACAUGACCUUCACUUCUUUAUUUUUAUUCAGCACUGACAGUAUUCUUCAAGAAAAUGUAAGGUACAGAUAUUUAAAAUGGGUCUAUGGAUCAUGAGUUUUAUCUACAGGUGAGACGUAUGUUCUCUGUGACAUUGUGUCUGAAAUCAUUCAUUCUCCACCUCUGAUCCAUGUGGAGAAGUUGCCAGCUACUUGCGGAGAGCAGAUUAUUACUGGUAACUGCCUGCUAAUACAUAAUUGAAAUACUGUUGAAGUAUGGGGCUAAACCUGGAACAAACAAACAAACAAAUAAGGUUAAUUUUGACAAUAGAUAGCUUUUGAUGUAAAAUAAAUAAAAAUAAAAAUAUUGAUGAGCAGCAAUAUAAGGAUUUUAUUUGAUAUUUGGCAAAUUUUAAAAAAUCAAGCACACGGUCCAUUACAUUUUACUGACUGUGUGAUUGAAAAUAGUCUACAAAAUUUAAUAUUAAACAUUUCAUUAUUGUAUUUUGGUUCUCUUUCUGUAUGCUAAAAUGUUGUCCUAAGUGGGACUUUCCCAUAUAUUGUGAAAAUUGACCGGAGGAUGAAUAUUUUCAAAUCGGUCUUAUGCAUAUGGCCGUAUCUUUUUAUCUGCUGAAUAUCUUUCAGAUACAUUGAUGUUUUGAAAAAAUAUGGUUUAAUAAAAUUCUUCAUUGUAGAAUGAUAUUUGUAUCAUACACGCUUAAGACGAAUGGUGUCCUCAAUUAUCUUGCUAAAGUACUCAAAACACCUCUCUCAAAUUUGUUCAAAUGGGGGCAGUUGGCCCCUUUUAGGGGUUGCUAGGGCUAAAAGUAAGAAUACAUUUUAAUGACUACUUAUUGUGUACCACUCAGUGGAUCUUCAUCAAACCUGGUCUGUGGCAUCAAUAAAAGGUCCUCUCAUAAAUUUGUUCAGUUUGGGGUGUUUGGCCCCUUUAUGGGUCAGAUGGUUAUGAUCCUCUUCAAGUGAGCAACUUAGGCCCAUUUGGGCCUCUUGUUAUAAAAUCUACUGCUCAUGUAAAAUUGAAUGCGCAAUUUUUAAAAAAACAACUCAUAAUGAUAUUUUUAUGCUGCCUGCACCCCCACACCUCUCUGGAGAGUGCUCAUGUUGGUCUAUAGACUGUUUAGUAACUCAAAUCAAUAUCUAGUGAACACUUUAGCUAACUGACAUGAAACUUCAUAGGAUGAUACACAACCCUGCGAUUUGGGGCUCAGUACAUUAAACUCAGUGCUGUUGACCUCCAGGCUGGAUGUAGUUUCGGUACGCUUAGGCCUGGUGUUGUCAAACUUCUUUAGUUGAUUGCCUGUGGUUAUUGGAAGGUCCAUAUUAUUUAAGGGGCUAGUGGGUCAGAAGUCAAGGUCAGUGACCUUCAUUGACCUGAAAAUAGUAUCUGCUGAAUAACUAGGCAUUAAGGUCAUCCAACUUCAUGAUUGCUUUUAAAACAGUAGAUGAAGGUCAUAUGUCAAGGUUACAGUGACCUUGAGCCUAAGAAUGCUGUCUACACAAUAACUAGAGAAUGCUUAGGUCUACAGUUGUAAAACUUUUAUAGGAUGAUUGCUUGAAGUCAGUAGAUUAGAAAUAUUUAUUUUGGUCAGAAGAUCAAAGGUCAAGAUCAUGGUGACCUUGGGACAGAAAAUGUUUCCAGAUCAAUAAAUGAAAAUUCCUCCCACACAUAUUUUUUUGUGUUUUAUAAAGAAUCACCUUGGGAAAAUACAAAAUUGAUAUUACAAAUUCAAUUUGGCACAAAGCAUGCUUUUUGUAUAACUACGUAUAAUACCACAGUCACACUUAUGGCGCAGAUAGCUACGUUUAGCUACAGAUAGAAACAUAGUAAUCUGUAUCGAUCCGUACCUUAGCCGUGCGGAUUGAUAUGGGUUACUACUUUAAGGUACAGCUCAGGUACGGAUCGAUACGGAUUACCACGUUUCUGUCCGUGGCUAGACAUAGCUAUCCGGGCCGUAUGUGUGACUGGGGUAUAAAGUGGUAUAAUAUUGUAAUUUCAAGGCUUGUCAUUACAGAAACUGCGUAAGUUCAUGAAAAUAACUUUUCAUGAAUAUAUGCCAGUAACUACUUGCAUGUAUAUAACUUUAAUUUUGGUAUGAAAAGUUAUAAAAUGUAAUAUUUUAACAUGCAGGAUAAUAGUAAUGACAGGUCUUAUGUAGCUGCAUGCAUAGUAGAAUUUAUUGUAUUAUUGUCUAUUUUUUCAGCCUUUUCUUUAACAAAUUGUUUGAUUUUUUACGGUACAGGGAUGAAGUGAGUAUAAACUUGUGCUGAAAUGAAAUAAAAAUAAAUGAGUGUCCAUUAUGUUUUCAUUUUAUUUUAGCUCCUGCUGUUGAACUAUGUCCUCAAUUUACUUCAUCCCUGAACUGUUUACUGUCAGCUUCUUAGCUUAGAUAUAUAUAUUAUUGUAGAAAAUCAUUCUUCUAACAUAUAUCAAUAAUGGUUAGACCUCAGUCAUUUCAGUAUUUAGGAGUUUUGUCAUGGAUUGUACUUAUUUGCUUGAACAUGCAUUGCUUAAAUGAAUUUACAUGUUUAUCAUAAUAUGAAGUUACUUUUUAGCUCAUCUGAUUUUUUGAAAAAAAAUGAUGAGUUAUUGUCAUCACUUGAGCGGUUGUCGGCGUCGGCGUCUGCGUCGGCGUUGCCUGGUUAAGUUUUAUGUUUAGGUCAGCUUUUCUCCUAAACUAUCAAAGCUAUUGCUUUGAAACUUGGAAUACUUGUUCACCAUCAUAAGCUGACCCUGUAUAGCAAGAAACAUAACUCCAUCUUGUUUUUUGCAAGAUUUAUGGCCCCUUUUGUACUUAGAAAAUAUCAGAUUUCUUGGUUAAGUUUCAUGUUUAGGUCAGCUUUUCUCCUAAACUAUCAAAGCUAUUGCUUUGAAACUUGGAAUACUUGUUCACCAUCAUAAGCAGACCCUGUACAUGAAGAAACAUAACUCCAUCUUGCUUUUUGCAAGAAUUAUUGCCCCUUUUGGACUUAGAAAAUCAGUUUUCUUGGUUAAGUUUUAUGUUUAGGUCAGCUUUUAUCCUAAACUAUCAAAGCUAUUGCUUUAGAACUUGCAACACUUGUUCACCAUCAUAAGCUGACCCUGUACAGCAAGAAACAUAACUCCAUCCUGC